GAGCGGAUCGACGGGAGCUUGCUCCCUUAGGUCAGCGGCGGACGGGUGAGUAACACGUGGGUAACCUGCCUGUAAGACUGGGAUAACUCCGGGAAACCGGGGCUAAUACCGGAUGCUUGAUUGAACCGCAUGGUUCCAAUCAUAAAAGGUGGCUUUCAGCUACCACUUACUGAUGGACCCGCGGCGCAUUAGCUAGUUGGUGAGGUAACGGCUCACCAAGGCGACGAUGCGUAGCCGACCUGAGAGGGUGAUCGGCCACACUGGGACUGAGACACGGCCCAGACUCCUACGGGAGGCAGCAGUAGGGAAUCUUCCGCAAUGGACGAAAGUCUGACGGAGCAACGCCGCGUGAGUGAUGAAGGUUUUCGGAUCGUAAAACUCUGUUGUUAGGGAAGAACAAGUACCGUUCGAAUAGGGCGGCACCUUGACGGUACCUAACCAGAAAGCCACGGCUAACUACGUGCCAGCAGCCGCGGUAAUACGUAGGUGGCAAGCGUUGUCCGGAAUUAUUGGGCGUAAAGCGCGCGCAGGCGGUUUCUUAAGUCUGAUGUGAAAGCCCCCGGCUCAACCGGGGAGGGUCAUUGGAAACUGGGGAACUUGAGUGCAGAAGAGGAGAGUGGAAUUCCACGUGUAGCGGUGAAAUGCGUAGAGAUGUGGAGGAACACCAGUGGCGAAGGCGACUCUCUGGUCUGUAACUGACGCUGAGGCG
This 709-nucleotide ribosomal RNA is filed under the name uncultured Bacilli bacterium. RNAcentral describes it as "bacterial SSU rRNA". It matches the Rfam family "Bacterial small subunit ribosomal RNA", at positions 64 to 753 of the family's 1533-position model. The record is from RNAcentral. Lineage: Bacteria; Bacillati; Bacillota; Bacilli.